Molecule: long non-coding RNA, 4920 nt
Organism: Falco peregrinus (peregrine falcon)
Lineage: Eukaryota; Metazoa; Chordata; Aves; Falconiformes; Falconidae
Exons: 2
Source: RefSeq, a predicted model, not a curated record
AUUAAUUAAUUGUGCACUGCGAGACACAAAGCAAAAAAGAUUUCUGAUUUUUUUUGUGUGUUUUUUUUAUUUUAUUUUUUUUUUUAUGCACACUUGGCCUGUCUGCCUCCCCCAGUGUUGGUGGCCAUGACGUUAAUCCAGGAGGGACCCUAGCGCAUAUUCCCACCGUGGUGAGGGGACAUGCCCUGGGCAACACUGGCCUUGCAAGUGCCAUUCACAGUGCUGGGCUGGGGCGAGCAAGGCUGUGCUCCGAGGGCACCAGGAGCUGCAAAGGCUUCAGGAACACUUGGAGUUUGCACGGUGUGCUUCAGCUUUGGCAAUUCAUAUAGUGCUGUGCGGGUCCGCAGUCUUUAAAUGCUUGGGUGGAAAGUUUGAGUAUUGCACUAUUAAUGAAGUCUGCACUAGAAAGGAUUCCCUUUCCCUCCCCUGCUCCUGCCCACCCUCCUGUCUCCCCAAGCCCAUUUAGCAGCCACUGUAGCAUGGAGCCUUCAUGCCUUAUGGAAACACAGAGGCGCCAGGGCUCAGGAAAGACCAUGUUAUUAGGGUGACAUUUUGAAAAGAACCUGAUGAUUUUGAGCACAUCUGUGCUACAAGGUGAGUGCCCAAAGACAGAGCUGGGCUUUGUUCAGCCAGGACCAUGCCCAUAUUUCAACUCUUUCAUCAAAAAUGCCAACAAACCUGAAGCAUUAGUUGGUUCAUCUCUGUGGGCUGGAUGAUUAUAAAGAGGAACAGCAGUGAGCUUAUAUAUGGGCUCUUAAGCGUUUUUAAACAGUAUAUGAGUGGGAGAGUGAGUUAUAAAUGGGUAAACUGACAGAUAAUAUCUUACGAGCAGGGCAGGAGGGUGGCUAGAAGUGGUCAUGCUGCUGUUUGGGCUAGUUCUUCAUUCAUCCUAAGUAAAACAAUCAGAAAGUUGUGAAUAACUUUUUAUCUGAGAAAAAAAUAAUAAUUUCAUAAAAUCUGGGUUUAACCACUAAUGACCCUCCCCAGUCCCAAGAGCAGUCAGCCAAGAAAUUCUCAAGACCUUUAAAACUAUUUUGACACACUGUUGCCUCACUUGUACUUAAAACAGAUUUGAGACGCUGGCCCUUUGGCUACAUUUUAUCAGUGAACUUCGGCCAGUUGUUGAUUUGAAUGAUGUGGGCAGUGGUUAUUCAAAUUCAGGGCAGAGGGGAAAUUUGGGGCCAUCGCAGUGCUGUGGUAGUUAAUGAGCAGCAAAAAGCAGAAUGCUGGUCUGGGAGCUGCUCAGUUUUCUUCACCUCCCAGGUGUGUGCCUUCAAAAUUGGAAAGGUGAGGAAGCAGGCUGAACAAGCCCAGGGAACGACAGUGCUGGGCCAGAAACUGUUUGCUGGGUUUGUGUGCCUCUGUGUGUGUGUGUAAGCAGGAGAGCAUAUGGGCACGCACCUGCCAGCGUACACACCUGACUGGUGAUUCACUCUUCAGAUGCCCUUGCUUGCAUGGAAAGUAGUUUUCUGUUAUGUGUGUAGUUUCCUUUAUAUUCCGGUCUUUCUGUGGAAGCUUUUUUUAAGCCUGUGUCUUUUUUUCCAAAUUGUUCAAAGUUGCUAACAGCUUCAUUUUCCCAUUACCACAAUUACCAAUGCCAUACUUGUUUGAGAAGCUGUGGCUUUCAGCUGGGAGAGGACUUUGCCGUAUGAAUUUAGAGCAAUUUCCGCAGCUUUCUUAUAUAAUUAAUGCAGUCAGCUCCUUUUGAUUUAAAGCAGCCAACGGGAACCGCAUCUGCUGCCACAAGUCCCUUGCAGUCACUUCAGCACGUGGGUCUCUUGGAGAGGCUGGUGGCCCAGUCUGGGUGACUUUGAGUGUGUCAUGAGGUUUCCUGGGCUGGUCACCACACAGCAAGGUGACUGGCGUCAUUGCUACGGGGCUGAGGUAUGAAAGCUGCCUUCCUUGCUGGGGUGCAGCUGGAUUUAAUGUUUGCUGGUGGCCCCGAGCCCUGUUGCCAUCUCGCAGGGCAGUGGCUUAGGACCUUGCUCGCUGCAUGUAUUGAUUUUUAUUUUUUUUUUCCCUCUCCCUCUCUUUAGUGAUUGAUUUCCAGGCAGACAUGUAAACUGGGCAGAGAAGCUGUUGUUUUGACUGUGCGUUUCAAUUGCUGGCACUGGGGUGGUUGUGGCGGUGCGGGAGGAGCAGAGCUGAGCACAGCGCAGCCAGUGCAGCCCAGCAGCAACGAGCUGCCCGCUGCUCACUGCCUUUAUGGCUUGCUCCCGUCUUAAGGUCCUUAUUAAUGCUUAAUAGAUAGUUCAACACAGAAACAAUUGAUUUGUUUAUUGCUAUAGACACAAACCAUUUAAUACAUUGUUUAUGGACCUUUUUAUCUACAGUGUGUUCUAUUGAUAGGGCUGUUUGUGAUCUGCUUAUACCCUAUUAAUAAUGCAUUGACCAUAGACAAGGAUGGUAUAGAAAGCGAGAUGUGCUCUUACUCAUGCUCUUUUUGUCUCUCUCUCCCCCUGCUCAACAUAUUGCAUAAAAUGCAAAACAUUUUUUUACUGACUCAUUUAUGCUAGUGUAAAAAAAACCAACAACAAUUAAUUUAUUCUCAUCCCAAUCUAUUGCCCCCAAAUGUCCCAUAGAUUGAGUGGUAUGGAAUUCAUUUAUGGUUCAGUCCACAGGCUGUUUAUGCACUAUGGUAUUACUGCCACAGCUUUAUAAGGGCCAAGGUGGUAGCAGCCAGUACUGUAACUAUGUCAGGAUGGCAAGCAGAGCUAGCUGGCACUGUAGCCCAGCGCUGCCUAAAGCAGCUGCAAAGGGAAAUGUGUAAUAUAAGCAUAGCUGGCGUUUAACACUCCUUCCCCCAUGCAACCCCUCCUUGUCCUCUGCUUAUGCUCCCAGCCUCUGCGUCUUACCGGGGCUUUCCUGGGGAGUUAAAUCAUCAAUGAGUUUGGGAGUUAACUGGGUUAGAAAUGCUCUCUUUAGGAUCGGAGGUCAGUAACUGCCAGGGUUAAAUGGUACCUAUCCUGACUGCAUGCUCAUCCUCAAGGUCUGGAGAUGUUGAUGCUGAAUCAGUUCAGGUUUGCAAGCUGAAUCAAUACAUAUUCUCAGUACAGCAGCAUAAAGUCCCUUCCUUGCCUGCCACAGCAGGGUCUGAGCUGGGUCCCACACCAUGGCCCUGGUGUAGGGGUCCUGCUAGAGCGGUAACGGUGCGGGGGUACCAUUGGCAAAGCGGGGCAACGUGGCAGGACCAGUGUGGCUGGGAGCAAGGGGAGGCAAAGCCUUCAAGGGAGGAAGAAUCUGCAGAGUUGGUGGGCCAUAACAGGGCCAAAGGACGUGCCCAUUAAUGAUAGUUAACAUCACUGCCCAGGGAAGCUGCCCUUGGCUGGGGGCAGGUGGGCUGCCUGAGAUGUGCAGGGUUGAGCCCUGGGCCGCUGCAGGCUCUGCUGGAGCUGCAGCUCCUCCAGCCCACCCUCCUCUCCACAGCCACCUGACGUAGCAGCGAAAAGCCACACUUUUGGUGUUGAAGGACCGAAAGCUUCUUAGUCCAAUUCAGGCUAUUUCACACACUGGCAACAACCAACAGCUCUGUGGUUGGAGUUCACCCCAGUCUUCUUGGACCUCUGCCUGCCUGUGGGCGUGCAACUGAGAUGUGUCCACCACUGCACCGACCGAACCGCUGUCUCUGGGUUGCAGAGCCUCACAGAAAGACUUGCACCUUCAUUGCAGGUAAUACCCAUAAGUCAAGGAAAAUUCCCACUGGGACUCAUUUUCUGGAUGACCAUGUUCUUUCUGCAUGUGAUGUGGGGGUGAGCAGAGACCAUGGACAACUUAAAAAAGAAAAAAAAAAGUUCUUUGUAAAAUUAAAAGCAUCCAACCUUUACAUUUUCAAGCAUCUCACACCAAAACCUACACCAGGCACCCCCAGGUGAAGCAGGACCUGAGCCACCUUGGCAGAACCAAACCCACUGGAGGUGAAAUGGGCUCUUGGGCUGACACGCUGCUCUGGCUGGCACUGCUUCCCUCCACCUGCUGCACCCUCUCCCAUCAGGACGCAUCGGAACACCACGGUUUUCAAAACCCCUGCCCAAAACCAAAGUGCUGGACCUCAGCGGGAGCUGUGGACAGGGUGGCCCAUGCAGCUGUGCAGCCAGAUGUGGGAGCCACAGCCACACUCACCACCUCCCCGAGGUACCUGUUGAUGCUUGGGGCUGGCUCAACUGAAAGCAAAGGAGACGUGGCAAGAGCAAGCGGUCCAGUUCAGAACUCUUUAAUACAAGCUUAUAUUGUUUGUGUUUCCGAUUCUCUGUUCUCCCAACAUCUGGGGACAUUAACCCUCAUAUGUGUGUGAGCAUGUGUAUGAAGAUAUAUACAAAAUCACAUAGUUAAAUAUUUAAGCAUACAAGGUAUUAUAUAUUUAUAUAAUAUAGAACUUUAGGGUAUAGGAAUCAACAAUGGCAAAAUAUUUCUGAUGAAUCUGACGUAACUUUUUUUUGAGUGAAACAUGACCUGUUUUUGAAAGACCAGAGGAAGUUGUUGCUUAUUAAAAGAAAGAGAAAAACCUGUAUAAAGAAAUUCUGUGAAAAUGAUUUAAAAAACAUCAUGAACCAAAAAAAGGUCAACUGUUAAAAACUGUAUUGAAAAAAAAAAUAAAUUAGAUGAACAAUUGUGUAAAUAUAAAUUAAAAAAGAUGACAAUCUUAAUAAAUAAGCUUUACUAUUUACAUCUUUAUAUAUUGCUUGGAGACUUAAAUUAGAUCCGUUAAAAACAAACGAACGCAAAAUAAAACCCGAAAUUGGAGCAGCAAACGUACAGGCGUGAGGUACAGAAUUAAGGGUUGAACUGUAUUUUGCUUGUUUCUUUUUUUUUUUUUUUCUUUUCUCUUUUAUACAGUAGACCAGUAGAAUUUUUGUGAAAAUAGAUCCUCAGCACUUCAUUGGAGUAUUGGUUGACGUGGCUUCCAAAAGGUGCCAAGAAAGA